Molecule: transfer RNA, 68 nt
Filed under: Marmota monax (woodchuck)
Lineage: Eukaryota; Metazoa; Chordata; Mammalia; Rodentia; Sciuridae
Description: tRNA.Ala
Source: RNAcentral
GUUGUGGCUCAGUGGUAAGAUGUUCACUUAGCACGUGUGAGGCCCUGGGUUCGAUCCUCAGCACCACA